GAUGAACGCUGGCGGCGUGCUUAACACAUGCAAGUCGAACGAUGAUGCCCAGCUUGCUGGGUGUAUUAGUGGCGAACGGGUGAGUAACACGUGAGUAACCUGCCCUUUACUCUGGGAUAAGCCUGGGAAACUGGGUCUAAUACCGGAUACGACCAUCUGGCGCAUGUCAUGGUGGUGGAAAGCUUUUGUGGUUUUGGAUGGACUCGCGGCCUAUCAGCUUGUUGGUGGGGUAAUGGCCUACCAAGGCGACGACGGGUAGCCGGCCUGAGAGGGUGACCGGCCACGCUGGGACUGAGACACGGCCCAGACGCCUACGGGAGGCAGCAGUGGGGAAUAUUGCACAAUGGGCGCAAGCCUGAUGCAGCGACGCCGCGUGAGGGAUGACGGCCUUCGGGUUGUAAACCGCUUUCAGUAGGGAAGAAGCGAAAGUGACGGUACCUGCAGAAGAAGCGCCGGCUAACUACGUG
RNAcentral lists this ribosomal RNA (467 nucleotides) under uncultured bacterium. RNAcentral describes it as "partial 16S ribosomal RNA". It matches the Rfam family "Bacterial small subunit ribosomal RNA", at positions 28 to 507 of the family's 1533-position model. The record is from RNAcentral.